Molecule: ribosomal RNA, 446 nt
Filed under: uncultured bacterium
Lineage: Bacteria
Description: bacterial SSU rRNA
Rfam family: Bacterial small subunit ribosomal RNA
Source: RNAcentral
UUCCAGACUCCUACGGGAGGCAGCAGUGGGGGAUAUUGCACAAUGGGGGAAACCCUGAUGCAGCGACGCCGCGUGAGUGAAGAAGUAAUUCGUUAUGUAAAGCUCUAUCAGCAGGGAAGAAAAUGACGGUACCUGAGUAAGAAGCCCCGGCUAACUACGUGCCAGCAGCCGCGGUAAUACGUAGGGGGCAAGCGUUAUCCGGAUUUACUGGGUGUAAGGGGAGCGUAGACGGCAGUGCAAGUCUGGAGUGAAAUGCCGGGGCCCAACCCCGGAACUGCUUUGGAAACUGUGCAGCUCGAGUGCAGGAGAGGUAAGCGGAAUUCCUAGUGUAGCGGUGAAAUGCGUAGAUAUUAGGAGGAACACCAGUGGCGAAGGCGGCUUACUGGACUGUAACUGACGUUGAGGCUCGAAAGCGUGGGGAGCAAACAGGAUUAGAUACCCCAGUA